RNAcentral lists this small nuclear RNA (108 nucleotides) under Dromaius novaehollandiae (emu). RNAcentral describes it as "U1 spliceosomal RNA (ENSDNVG00000015763.1)". Lineage: Eukaryota; Metazoa; Chordata; Aves; Casuariiformes; Dromaiidae. The record is from RNAcentral.
GUGCCUUCCUGACAGGGGAGACAUCAUGAUCAGGAAGGUGAUUUUUGCCAGACUCAGUCUCAACUGCAGAAGUUGUGUUAGCAGGGAAAUGCUUGUCUUAUUUCCUUC